ACAACUUACUGUACAAUUCCUCCCCUUCACCAACCAACCACUAUCUAACUUCAGAUAACAUGCACUCACACAGUUUACAAUCCCUGUACUUAUUCUGCGUCUAUUUGUCACAUCUCAUACGUAGAUUUAUUUAUUUAGUCGGAUACAUAUUGCACACUUGACAAUCUCUUUUCUUCUGAAUACAUAGUUCAUUAGCUAAUGUAUUCUUACUACCCCC
Molecule: non-coding RNA, 217 nt
Organism: Pelobates cultripes (western spadefoot toad)
Lineage: Eukaryota; Metazoa; Chordata; Amphibia; Anura; Pelobatidae
Source: the annotation of a GenBank genome assembly